Molecule: long non-coding RNA, 291 nt
Filed under: Callithrix jacchus (white-tufted-ear marmoset)
Lineage: Eukaryota; Metazoa; Chordata; Mammalia; Primates; Cebidae
Description: lncRNA (ENSCJAG00000079647.1)
Source: RNAcentral
ACGGUUUUAGCAUCUUGGGUUUUGGGGGCAUAUUUUGAAAAGGACUAAAUCGGAAUUGUUUUUGCUGCAGAGACUAUCCCAUCCCUUGCUUUUCAAAGACACCAUCAUGUGGGAAAUGUGAAUCUUUUACUCAUCUCUUCAAGACUCCCAAAGACAGAGAUGAGCCUUCUGUUUCCAGUGAUCGUGGGGCCCCCAGAUGAAGCCAGCCUCAAGAUAAUAAGUCAGAUGGGGAAACUGAGGAUCAGAAAGGUUAAGGCACUUGCCCAAAGUCAAGGAACUCAUACACGACAG